UUUAUAGUUGGUUCUCUUGGCAUUUUAGCCGUUUUGAUUCUAUCCAUAAUUUCUUUAAGAUCAUAUGGAUUUUUCUUUUCUUCAAUUUUCUUUUCUAAAGUUUCUAAAGGGCUUUUUUCCUUGAACAAGGUUAAAUAUUCGUUUAACCUUUUUCUUCUUUCUUCUUGAUCUUCGAUCUUAUCUAUAAGAUCUAAGAUUAGAUUUUC
This 206-nucleotide unclassified non-coding RNA is filed under the name Hevea brasiliensis (rubber tree). Lineage: Eukaryota; Viridiplantae; Streptophyta; Magnoliopsida; Malpighiales; Euphorbiaceae. The record is from RNAcentral.